RNAcentral lists this ribosomal RNA (372 nucleotides) under uncultured organism. RNAcentral describes it as "partial 16S ribosomal RNA". It matches the Rfam family "Archaeal small subunit ribosomal RNA", at positions 477 to 851 of the family's 1478-position model. The record is from RNAcentral.
CAGCACCUCAAGUGGUCAGGAUGAUUAUUGGGCCUAAAGCAUCCGUAGCUGCUUGUUAGUCUUCGGUUAAAUCCAUGCGCUCAACGCAUGGGCUGCCGGGAAUACUGCAAAGCUAGGGAGUGGGAGAGGUAGACGGUACUCGGUAGGAAGGGGUAAAAUCCUUUGAUCUAUUGAUGACCACCUGUGGCGAAGGCGGUCUACCAGAACACGUCCGACGGUGAGGGAUGAAAGCUGGGGGAGCAAACCGGAUUAGAUACCCGGGUAGUCCCAGCUGUAAACUAUGCAAACUCGGUGAUGCAUUGGCUUGAUGCCAAUGCAGUGCCGCAGGGAAGCCGUUAAGUUUGCCGCCUGGGAAGUACGUACGCAAGUAUG